CUCCUUUGCCUGUCAAGCCCUAUGUUUGAACUCAUUCCAGAAUACUGGAUUUACUUUUCACGAAGAAACAGUACCUGACUGGACUGCAUUUUUCUUUCUUUCCUUAGUCACCAGAAGACUGGAAACAAUAUUCUUUUGAUGAUUAGCACACUCCCAGUAAUGCAGCRUGCCUGCACACAAGUGUGACUCUUGCGGUGGAGAAGGAAGAGCAACUUUGCUACCUGUGAAACGAAGACUACUUAGGAGUGACUUGAUGACUUCAGGCAUGUAAAUGCUCAAAAACAAGAAGAAAGGGCCACCUGCAUUGCAUUGCAUUCUUCUGGAGACGAGUCAGGGCUGAAGUCCCACUGAAAGACCUACCCAUGACACGGGAAGAGUCUCACCUACCGCCACUUCUCUAGAGACUUCGUCCUGCGUUGAGGUUGAGUGAAGAAGACGAUGGUGUUUCCUGAGCUGACUGUUUUAGUGAAUCCACCUACCAGCCUCUAGACAGAGAGGUGCUGUGAGGCCGGUUCCCAAAGGAUCUACCAGUGGUGGUGAAGUCCCUUCUCCUCUGAUCUACAGACAACAGAAGCUGUUGUCCCAAUUCAUGGUUGCUCUUUCCCACUGGCGUGCAGCCUAAGAGAGAAUUGUUUUUAGCUAAAAUUGAUCUCACCUGUGAAUUUCACACUGUAACUUCACAGGCACUGCUGUGUCUCUAAGUGACCGUGGAGUGCAGUCACUUGUGGGGGUCCUUUAAAGAGAAUGAGGAGCAGCCAAGUGGACUCAGUGUUGAAUAAUCACAUAAUAUGGAGGUAAGAACUAGACAGAGAAGCAUAAGAAGAAGUUAUC
This 831-nucleotide long non-coding RNA is filed under the name Dromaius novaehollandiae (emu). RNAcentral describes it as "lncRNA (ENSDNVG00000016906.1)". Lineage: Eukaryota; Metazoa; Chordata; Aves; Casuariiformes; Dromaiidae. The record is from RNAcentral.